UUUGACCUCGGAUCAGGUAGGGAAUACCCGC
This 31-nucleotide ribosomal RNA is filed under the name Phomopsis sp. TSM-2005-07. RNAcentral's name for it is "partial 28S ribosomal RNA". Lineage: Eukaryota; Fungi; Ascomycota; Sordariomycetes; Diaporthales; Diaporthaceae. The record is from RNAcentral. RNAcentral also lists the same sequence under 1 other name.